This is a long non-coding RNA of Bos taurus (domestic cattle), 988 nucleotides long. Lineage: Eukaryota; Metazoa; Chordata; Mammalia; Artiodactyla; Bovidae. The record is from Ensembl.
CCUAGGUUCUAUCACUUUCAGCUGUGUAGCUUUCAGUAAUUUAUCUUCUCUCAUCCUCGGUUUCCUCCUCUGCCAAAUGGGGUAAUAUCAGCAUCUACCUCAGAGGUAUGAUACUUUGGCCACCUGAUGCGAAGAGCCAACUCAUUGGAAAAGACCCUGAUUCUGGGAAAGAUUGAAGGCAAAAGGAGAAGAGGGUGUGGGUAGCAGAGGAUGAGAUGGUUAGAUAGCACCACCGACUCAAUGAACAUGAGUUUGAGCAAACUCUGGGAGAUGGUGAAGGACAGGGAAGCCUGGCGUGCUGCAGUCCAUGGGGUCACAGAGAGCCAAACACAACUUAGCAACUGAACAACAGCAACAGAGGGUAUUUCAGGACAGAGAACACCCUGUAGAAGCCAUGCAUCUGCUCCUCCAGGACCUCCACUGUACUGCGGUUGCUUAGGUCCCUCUCUGCCCGGUCCAGCCAGGUGACAUUGGGCAUGAGCAAAUUCGAGAUUUUCUGUGCCCUCCACAAAGAAGAAACGACAGGGAAGAGUGACAUCAGUGGGAGGAUGGGCCCGUAACUCUCCUACAGACACUGAGGACAGCAAAGAAGAAAUGAAGCUAGUCAAGCAUUUAUAAAGCCCAGCGAACACUGCAGCACAUAGGAUUUGACAACAGAUCAAAUAAAUCACUCUAGCUAUUUCAAGCACAAAGGAGUUUGGUACAGAGAAUUAGACAUUUAUAAAAUCAUUGGAAGGCUAGAGAAAUGAGUCCAAAGAAGGGAAUGAACUGAGACUUUGGUCCUUUUUUGCUUUAGACUCUGAACUGACUUCCGAUUUCAGAACUAAAACAUAGGCUCUUUUUGAGUCACGGGCAUUCAGACUUGGACGGGAAAUAUACCAUGGACUUUCCAGAAUCUCCAGCUUAGCCACUGCAGAUCUGGGGACUUCUUACCUCCAUAAUCACUUGAUCUCUUCAUACAGAUUUUAUGUGUUCUGUUCCUCUGGAG